This 354-nucleotide ribosomal RNA is filed under the name Triticum aestivum (bread wheat). Its description in RNAcentral is "partial small subunit ribosomal RNA". Lineage: Eukaryota; Viridiplantae; Streptophyta; Magnoliopsida; Poales; Poaceae. The record is from RNAcentral.
AUGACCACGGGAACCGACACAAAGGUGGUGGCACGUCAGGCUCAGGCUCAUCCUCCUCGUCUUCGAGUGACCAACACAAAGGUGGCACCUCAGGCUCAUCGUCCUCGUCGUCUUCAAGUGACCACGGGAACAACCACAGAGGUGGCACCUCAGGCUCAGGCUCAGGCUCAGGCUCAGGCUCAUCCUCCUCGUCGUCGUCUUCAGGCGACCACGCGAAUCGGCCGGGAGGUGGCACCUCCGCCUCCUCCUCGUCUGCGAAUGACCACGGGCACCGUCGCGGACACAGCGGCACCACCUCCUCGGGUUACAGGGGCCCUCUUCGGCCGAGAGGCGGACCUAAAGUCCAUAACGUGA